CCUCAGUCAUGCUAGUCAGGUUUCAAAUGCUCAAUGCCACAUGUGGCUAGUGCCUACUGGACUGGACAGUGAAGCUGGAGGGCAUUCUUAACACAGCAUAAAGUGCUGGUGGACAGUGCUUCCAUGGAGCAAACUCAGAGCUCAUCGGUGAAGAAUUAACUCAUUGAAAAUCAGGUGUAACUGAUGAGGAAUGGGGAAGGGGCCUCUCUUUCCUUUUUAUUUCUGUCAUGUUGUGUUAAAAUGCCCCUGCAUGUGUUUCAGGAAGGAAAUCUGUUUCCUACAGGUCCUUUGCUUUCUGUCGGGGGCAGCCGCAUGGGUCCACCCUACUGUAGGAGCUGACUGAGGGCAUGCCAGCAGCAGUCGUGGUGAAAAGCCAAGCAGAAAGUGAUGCAUUCUUCAUGCUGCUUUAGGAAGAUGGCAGUCAAAGAAGAGUCUGAACCAAAGCAGUGCCAUCUCUGGAUGGGCAAAGCUUCUGCAGCAACGGUUUACAGAUGCCCCAGCAGGAGCACUAGAAAGGGAGCCAAUCGCAUUACUGAGAGAGCUGGGGCCAGAGAGCUGGGACCUGAGAGCAGGACUGUGCUGGUGCUGCGUGACGGCACAUUUCUGCUGACGGCCCUGAACUUUCAGACAGAUGCUCUGUGAAUCAGGCGAGAGGGAAUCUUUAAUUAACGCCUUAAGACUGGGAAUGGAAACAAAGAACAGGAAGGUUGUAAGAUGGAUCUGGCUGUCAAAACAAAAUGAAACAAAAAUCCCAACAUGCUCUGCCCCAGCAAGCAUCACUCUGUCCUACACUGGGCUCUCGCCCGCUCUCAUGCAGAAAUAAGGGCCUGGAACUGGAGACCACAGAGGACAAUUUAAUAUGGAAGAAAGCAAUGAAACAACUUUCCACAGAAAUUCUCUACCCAGAGCACCCUAGUGCCUCAUUCCUGCCUCUAUCAUUAGAGCUGCUUUCAAAUCCCCCAUGAUCUUAAAGUCCCUUGGAAGGGCUUGAAAGCUUCUCAGGUAAUUAUGGCCUUGUGAGAAACAAUCAAGCUGGAAAAAAGGUAUUUCUAAAAGAAUCCCUAAAGUAAACCCCCGCCAUUGUAUCUGUUCUUUAGAGCUAUAAGAGAAAUUCAUGUUACACUUUAGGGAAACCUCUUUGGUAAAAUAGCUUGAAUGUCACAGCCCAAGGCUAGAAUUCUUUCUUUAGGAAAUAAUAUAUUUCAGAAUCAGAAUAUGACUUUGAACACAGCCUGGUAAAUCGUUUUGUACAACAGAGAAAUGUUAGCACCUGAGUUCAAGGACAGCUGAGACUUUAGUGCUUUUUUUGUACAUCCUUCCUUGUUCAGAUUGCUUGCUGCCCUUCUUUCUGAUACACUGUGUUCUAUUCCUCUUCUGAAAACUCAUCUAAAACUUGAUUGUUUAAAGCAAAUAUGUAUUGAACACUUACUAUCUGCAAGGUAUUGUCCUAGUUGCUGCAGAUACAGACAUAACUUUAAAAAGCAAAAUCCCUGUCUUCAUAAUAGAAAAUUUGCUAUUUUAAUUUCUCAAAACCCAAUUGCUCCAUUAAAGGUGCACAUUUACACAAAAAGAAUAUGCACUUGGCUCUGUCUUACUUCUCUGCUCCUUCCAGGUAUGCUGUCCCGUGUGCCCCUGACUGUCCAUUCCCUGCGGUGCAGAGACUGCAGCCUCUUUUGAUUUCUCUCAGUGUCAAAUACAAAGCCCUGCUCACCACAGCUACUCAAAAUCCAGGCAUUCAGAUAUUAUCUAAUCUCCCUAAAUGGCAUUUUUGUGACACACAGAGUGAGUGCUGUUGUCUUGCUAUUUUAUAUGCUUGAAACUUGAGUCGGCGUUCUUAAAUUGAUUGGCCAAGAAAACAAAGUGGUCAAGCUGAGACAAGAUCAUGAAUCUUUGGUUUUCCAUUCAAAUUACAGAGCUAAAGAAAAAAAGAAAUGGAGAUUUUCCUUCCAAGCUUACAAAAACUGCUUUAACUAAGUAUGAUUUUAUAAGAUCCCAAGCCAAUUGAAAUAUUGUCAUUUGUAAUAAUAAAACCUAUAUAUGAUUAGCA
Molecule: long non-coding RNA, 2047 nt
Filed under: Homo sapiens (human)
Lineage: Eukaryota; Metazoa; Chordata; Mammalia; Primates; Hominidae
Description: HSALNT0206189
Source: RNAcentral